UGCAAGUCGAACGAGAAUUUAUUUCUAGUGGCGAACGGGUGAGUAACGUAUUUCUAACGUGCCCCGGAGAGAGGAAUAACUAUUGGAAACGAUAACUAAUACCUCAUGGAUAUUGGAGGGCAUCCUCUAAUGUUUAAAGGUGCGUUUGCACCACUCCGGGAUCGGGAAAUAUCACAUUAGCUAGUUGGUGGGGUAAUGGCCCACCAAGGCAAUGAUGUGUAGCCGAGCUGAGAGGUUGAUCGGCCACAAUGGGACUGAGACACGGCCCAUACUCCUACGGGAGGCAGCAGUAGGGAAUUUUCCCAUGGACGAAAGUCUGAUGGAGC
This 326-nucleotide ribosomal RNA is filed under the name uncultured Mycoplasmataceae bacterium. RNAcentral's name for it is "bacterial SSU rRNA". It matches the Rfam family "Bacterial small subunit ribosomal RNA", at positions 56 to 392 of the family's 1533-position model. Lineage: Bacteria; Bacillati; Mycoplasmatota; Mollicutes; Mycoplasmatales; Mycoplasmataceae. The record is from RNAcentral.